CACGAAGGGGGCUAGCGUUGUUCGGAUUUACUGGGCGUAAAGCGCACGUAGGCGGAUCUUUAAGUCAGGGGUGAAAUGCCGGAGCUCAACUUCGGAACUGCCUUUGAUACUGGAGAUCUUGAGUUCGAGAGAGGUGAGUGGAACUGCGAGUGUAGAGGUGAAAUUCGUGGAUAUUCGCAAGAACACCAGUGGCGAAGGCGGCUCACUGGCUCGAUACUGACGCUGAGGUGCGAAAGCGUGGGGAGCAAACAGG
This 253-nucleotide ribosomal RNA is filed under the name uncultured bacterium. RNAcentral describes it as "partial 16S ribosomal RNA". It matches the Rfam family "Bacterial small subunit ribosomal RNA", at positions 524 to 776 of the family's 1533-position model. The record is from RNAcentral.